AUUGAACGCUGGCGGCAUGCCUUACACAUGCAAGUCGAACGGCAGCACGGGAGCAAUCCUGGUGGCGAGUGGCGAACGGGUGAGUAAUAUAUCGGAACGUGCCCGGUCGUGGGGGAUAACGUAGCGAAAGCUACGCUAAUACCGCAUACGAUCUACGGAUGAAAGCGGGGGAUCGCAAGACCUCGCGCGAUUGGAGCGGCCGAUAUCAGAUUAGGUAGUUGGUGAGGUAAAGGCUCACCAAGCCGACGAUCUGUAGCUGGUCUGAGAGGACGACCAGCCACACUGGGACUGAGACACGGCCCAGACUCCUACGGGAGGCAGCAGUGGGAAUUUUGGACAAAUGGGCGCAAGCCUGAUCCAGCAAUGCCGCGUGCAGGAUGAAGGCCUUCGGGUU
Molecule: ribosomal RNA, 394 nt
Filed under: uncultured bacterium
Lineage: Bacteria
Description: bacterial SSU rRNA
Rfam family: Bacterial small subunit ribosomal RNA
Source: RNAcentral